Molecule: long non-coding RNA, 556 nt
Organism: Arachis stenosperma
Lineage: Eukaryota; Viridiplantae; Streptophyta; Magnoliopsida; Fabales; Fabaceae
Exons: 4
Source: RefSeq, a predicted model, not a curated record
GAAAUAGAACCGCGUGAACUUAAGGAAAUUGAAACAACCCCCCCUUCUUUCUUUCCCCAAUUCAUAACCCUAGCCCCCAUUGUCGCCGCCGUCCGAAGCUUGUUGGCGCCGCCGCCGUCCCAAGCUCUAAGGACAUCGUCUUUAUGUUCCUUGGCUUCUCCGUUCGUCGAAGGUUAGUGGCGUGGCGUCCGCUCUUGGUACUGCGCUCGUUUAAGAUCUCUCCUUACACCUUCUCCGUCGUCGCCAUCGGGUCUCCAUCGGUGUCUCAGUUCUCAUUGCUGCUUGAGGGAUUUACGUGCUGCAAUCAAGGCUCCCCGAAUCACUUCCACGAAUCUCAUUAGGUCUUAUUUUUCUAUUCUCCAUAAAAAAGUGGCCGCUUAAAUGCCUGGAUCUUCUCUCUUUUUGCUUCCCUGGAAUAUUGGAGGAGGAUAUGAUGUGAAGAAAAUGUUCAAUACAAAUAUAAGAUGGGAUGGGUCUUAUAAUGAUUUUGGUUAUCUAAAUGUAUUAUUUUGAUGUCUUCUUUACAUUUUGAUAAGAGAUUUUAUUCGAUAAUACA